UACGUAGGGUGCGAGCGUUAAUCGGAAUUACUGGGCGUAAAGCGUGCGUAGGCGGUUCGUUAAGUUCGUUGUGAAAGCCCCGGGCUCAACCUGAGAACUGCAAUGGAAACUGGCGGGCUUGAGUGUGGCAGAGGGGGGUGGAAUUCCGCGUGUAGCAGUGAAAUGCGUAGAGAUGCGGAGGAACACCGAUGGCGAAGGCAGCCCCCUGGGCCAACACUGACGCUCAGGCACGAAAGCGUGGGGAGCAAACAGG
This 253-nucleotide ribosomal RNA is filed under the name uncultured bacterium. Its description in RNAcentral is "partial 16S ribosomal RNA". It matches the Rfam family "Bacterial small subunit ribosomal RNA", at positions 524 to 776 of the family's 1533-position model. The record is from RNAcentral.